UCUGUCUUAGGGGUGAUGUCCCCCCCUGGGGUAGAGAGGUCUGUCUUAGGGGUGGUGUCCCCCCUGGGGUAGAGGUCUGUCUUAGGGGUGGUGUCCCCCCCUGGGGUAGAGGUCUGUCUUAGGGGUGGUGUGUGUCUGGGGUAGAGAGGUCUGUCUUAGGGGUGGUGUCCCCCCUGGGGUAGAGGUCUGUCUUAGGGGUGGUGUGUGUCUGGGGUAGAGGUCUGUCUUAGGGGUGGUGUGUGUCUGGGGUAGAGUUCUGUCUUAGGGGUGGUGUGUGUCUGGGGUAGAGGUCUGUCUUAGGGGUGGUGUGUGUCUGGGG
Long non-coding RNA from Oncorhynchus tshawytscha (Chinook salmon), 319 nucleotides. NCBI's taxonomy places the organism in Eukaryota, Metazoa, Chordata, Actinopteri, Salmoniformes, Salmonidae. The record is from Ensembl.